Molecule: unclassified non-coding RNA, 264 nt
Filed under: Hevea brasiliensis (rubber tree)
Lineage: Eukaryota; Viridiplantae; Streptophyta; Magnoliopsida; Malpighiales; Euphorbiaceae
Source: RNAcentral
AAAAAAAAAAGAAAAAAAAUUAAAAAAAAAUUCCUGGACUUUUCUCAUUCAAAAACAGUUCUUGUGAUUCUUCUGGUCGGAAUUUCAAUUAAAUCUGCAGUAAAUGCAAACUAACUUCUCUAAACGCAAUAUAGUAUUUUAAAUUUGUGGCAGCAAUGAUUUGUUGCAAUAUUCCAAGUAUUAUACAAGGCCAACAUAAGGGUAUAAAUUAUUAAGGACCGCAGAGUUUAUUAGGUGGUCCACAAGCAAAAGAUAUGCAGACCA